UUCAGUAUGCAUACAUAUGAUUUAUACCAUUAUCAAGAUUACACUAAACAUAUAUAUAAAAUGCAUCAAACACCAAUUCAUCCUCCAAGUUUAGUAGAAUAUAAACAAAUGACUCUCUUAUGCAUAUGUCAUUAAACUACAAGGAACAUCACCAACUCGCUGAAUCUGGGAUUACGGUUGAAUGUUGGAAAACAAAAUCGUCCUCUAAGUACAAUUCAGCUGUAUUGCUAUAUUCAAACAUUAGAACAUAAUAUAAAUCAUAUAAUACAAUGAACCAACAAACCAAAAAUUCGAAUGCAAGUUAACAUGUCAAUCUAGAAAUCCAAAUACAUCACUUGGUUAUAUAAUGAAUUUUUUUUUAUCUUAAAUCGAGCUAUCACAGUUGCAACAUAUACAUUUUUCAUAUAUCAAUCGAAUCGAUUAAAUUGUGCAAUAUCAAAUUCACAUUUCAGACUUAUAAUCCGAUAUCCGUCAUCCACCUUUAUUUCAAUUUCAUUUAUAAUAAAUUUCUUAAUUCCACAUAUGUAACAACUUAUUUCAUCACAAUACAGAUUCAAUUGCACAUUUAUAAUAAUAUACAAUAUUUUCAAAACUAUUCAUUUUAGUCCUUAUAGCUAGCAAUCAUUCCAAAUCAAUUCAAAUAAGCUCGUUUUAUCAUUUACAACGUACCUUAUGAUCUUACCAUGCAACACAAUUCAUAAAUGCAGCAAUUGAAAUGGUUUAGAUUAUAGAAAUACAAAUCAUAAACUCCGAGUUAUUCGUUGACGGCUUUAUCUUUUUCUCUUUUUUUUGAGGAAUUCGAGUGAACGUUAGCUAUAGAUUAACACAAACAUACCAAAUCAACCAUAUACAAAUAAUUUCACAUUCAAUUUCUACUUUAAGAAACUUUUUCAUUUUAUUCAAUUUAGUCUCUAAAAUCGGGACUAACAUAACUUUAAAUCUAGAACUCAAGUUUGCAGGCUGAUUUCACUAUAGUCCUAAAUGGACCUCCCAUUUCUCAUUUCUACCCAAAAUUUCAAAAUUUGUGCAUUUUAGUCCCUAUUGCACAAAACUGUAAAUUAACUUUACAAUUUAGUCCUUUUCACUAUUAAGCUUACAAUCUAUCAAUUUAGUACCUAAAACUUCAAGAAUUCAUCAAUGGCAUCUUUCAAAAACUUCAAAAGUUAUGAAAAUUAACAAACGAGUCAGCUAGGUUAAGCUCUCUAGAUUUAAAAAACAUAAAAAUUAUAUGAAAAAGACUAAAUUGCACUAAUCAAUUGAAGAUUUAUACUUUAAAACAGCUUGGCGGUGGGUUAAGAGUUUCUCCUUCUCCAAUUUCGGUUGAAAAGAUGAAAACAUUCAUGUUUUCUCUUUUUCCCACUUUCAUACUUAUGUUUUGUUUUAAUAAUUUAAUUUUAAUCUUUUUUUAUAUUAUAACUUAUACAUAUAUAUACAUUAAUCAUUUACCACCCACUAAUUCCAUUAUGGUAUAAUUAUCACAUUGGUCCUUAAUCUAAGUUUCCACUUUAAAAUGUAUAGUAAUUUAACCUUUACCACUUUUCACUAAUUUGAUAAAAUUACUUAUCCAAAAUUCAAUUCAUUUCUAAUAUAAUUUCAUAAAUAUUUAAUAAAAUUAUUUACAGUCUCGGUUUACGAAAAUAGAGUCUUGAAAUCAAAUUUUUUGAUGCCACUGACUUUCGAAUCGUUAUAUUAAAUCAACAGAGUUUUUGGAUAUUUCAAAGAAAAUUAAAUGAUAAAGUUGAAAGAUUAAGUAAAACUCCAUUUCAAUGUGUUUCUUUGUAGGAGGAGGAGGCCAGAUGAUGACAAGAUUAUUGGAAUACAAUUGUGAAGGAGGUCCCUAAAACUCUAAAACAUUUAAAUAGUACAAGGACCAACUUGUAACUUUUCUAAAGUUAAAUGACGAAAUUGUAAAAUUUCUAAUAAUUGAGUGAUUUUGAGUAUAGUUUACCCCAUGAUGAAUAGUAAGUUUGUAACGUCCCCUAACCUUAUACCGUCGUCGGAACAGGGUUACGAAACAUUACCAGUCAGUACAGUCCAAUUUCAGUCAUUAAUUAAAAUAAAUAUUCAUACUCUUCCUAGUUUUAAGAUGUCGUCCCUUUAAUGGGCCCUCGCGGUCCAAUAUGGACUAAUAAAUUCAAUUUGGAACUAAUUUAGAAUCAAUACGAAAUUUUUUUUUAUAUUUCAAAAUUCAUACUAUAUACCGUUGCCAACCAUAAUUUACUUAUUUCAUCAAUACUUUUACAACUUAAAUUACUCUCAUUAAACAUCCUAGGUACAUGCCAUUAUCAAUACUCAAUGUACUUUACCUCAUUGAAUUCGGGAUCGGCCUGAAAUGCUGAUUCGACAGUCUAGCCUUAACUUAACCUGCGCACGGAAACAAACCGUACGCUGAGUAUACACUCAGUGGUAUUUCUAUAAUCCGAACACUUGAUAAUAUAACAAUUAAACUUAAAAUCACAAUAACAAAUAUAACUAUUCAUUUAUUUAUUUUAUAGAUAAGUUUCAUUUACUUACCAUAAAAAUUCUAUACAAGCCAUAUAACAAACACAACAACAUAUUUGCUCAAUUCUUUUCAUUUGCUUACUGUAUAAAUUCUUUACAAUAUAUUCACAAUUCAUUUGUAUUCACACUUUACUUCUUAACAAUAUACCAUUUUAAUUCAUUCUAACAUCAAUCAUCAUCCAUUUGAACUUCACUCAUUUCAUGAACCUUUUGGUUCAUGUUUUCAAUCUCAUAUCUCAAUUUCAAUUCUCAAUUCAAUUUCUCAUUUCAUUCCAAUAGCUCAAUCAAUCAAAUCCACUCGAUUUAUCUUUUCACUUAUUUACCCCUAUUAACAAGACUCGGACUCUGAUAGAUACGUGGAUUCCUCCCAAACACACCAGAAUAUCCAACCCAAACACACCCGGAAUAUCCAACCCAAACACACCCGGAAUAUUAUAAAUCCUCCAUAACACACCAGUAUAUCAUAUCCUCCCAAACACACCAAUAAGGCAUUAAAUGCCUCUUCAGAUAAACCGAAGUAUAUAAUAACAGAAACAUCUUCUCGGCCGAACUACAAAUCUCCUCAUCACAUCAUAAAUCCAAUGGCAUGCCAUUUGUAUCCAAUCUGGUCCGAUACUGUUAAUAGGGUAUUCGAUUCACUUUCUCAAUUUAAUAAAUCUUUCAUCAAUAUACCAUUCUAAUAAUCACAUAUAUUCACACAUUUUCAUAAUUUCAUAUAUUUUCAUUCAAUUCAACAAAUAUAUUUCAAUUAUUCACAUUAAUUCAUAAUUCAAUACAACUCAAUUCACUUUUCAAUAUCAAAUAUUCAAUUAUCACAAAUCUCAUAUAUUCAUAUCAAUUCCCUCAUAUUCCAAUCAAUAUAAUUUUUCAAUAUAACAUUCAUUCAAUAUUCAAAUUUUUACAUAAAUCAUAUAUAUAAUAUAUAUUUCAAUCAAUAUAAAUUCAAUCAAAAUGAUUUCAAUCAAUAUAAAUUUGAUAAAUUCAUCACAUGCCAAAAUCAAUCCAUUUCGAUUGUAAACCAUCAUAAUUCUAACACUAACAAUUGUCAUAUGUAUAUAAAUAUAACAAAUAAUGACUGAGUUCGGAUUAUAGAAAUACAAACCGUAAUUUUCGAGCUAACUCCCGUCGACUUUGUCUUGUCCUUCCUUAGCCGAGAUUUUUGGUACCACAUUGACUACGAAAUUAAUACAAUUCAUAAUCAUUAAUACAUUACUAAUUUAUAUCUUGAGUUACAGAAUUCUAAAUUAAGAUCUGUUAAUUUUUCCUGAAACUAGACUCACAAAUAUUCUUACCAUAAAAUUUUCAGAAUUUUUGGUUUAGCCAUUAAGUACAGUUUAUUCUUUAAAUUCACCCCUAUUCUGCUGUCUGACAGUUUCGAGCUUUCUUCACUAAAAAUUAAUUAUCUCACAGUACAGAACUCGGAUAAUAUUCCCGUUGAUUUCUCCUAAAAAUAGACUCAUUAGGGAUUAUAAAAAUAUAACUUUAACCCUCUAAAUUAUUUUUCUCCAAUUUUUGGUGAUUUUCCAAAUUUAGAACAGGGGAACCCGAAUUCAUUCUGACCUUGUCUCACAAAAUUCAUUAUAUCUCAUAAUUUACAAUCCAACUGCUUAAACCGUUUCUUUUAUAAGAAACUAGACUCAAUAAUAUUUAAUUCCAUAUUUUAUUCAUCCUCUAAUUCAAUUUAUACAAUUUUUGGUGAUUUUUCAAACUUAGACUACUGCUGCUGUCCAAAAUAGUCUUAGUGCAAAAUGUUGAUUUUCUACUUUUAAUUUCAAUUUAAUCCUAACUAAAUUCACUUACUUUUCUAUCUUAAUUCAUACUUUAUUUCUACUCAAUUUUUAACCAAACUUAGACAUAAUUAUCUAUUUUUCAUCAUAAAACCAAAAUUUCGAAAUUCUUUCAAUUUAGUCCUUAAAGCAUAAAACUUAUGAAUCACUUUACAAUUCAAUCCUUAUUUCAUCUCUAACUUGAAUUUCUAUCAAUUUAGCCUUUAAUUCAUCAUUUUAGUCAACAUGAACAAUAUUUAUAAAUCUAAUAACUUUCAAAAUAUCAACUUAAUUUCAUCAAAACUUUGUUCUAAAGCUUUUAAAAUAUCAAAAUUAAGUAAAAAUGGCUAAAUUGACAUACCUAUUAAAGUUUAAAGCUUCAAAACCUUGAUUUUCCCUUUUCUCCCUUUCUUUCUUUCUUUCCUUUCUUUCUCCCCUGUUCUUCUCUGUUUCGUUUGCUUUGUUUUUCUUUUUCAUUUCUUUUAUUUCAUUUAUUUCU
RNAcentral lists this long non-coding RNA (4767 nucleotides) under Gossypium barbadense (sea-island cotton). RNAcentral's name for it is "long non-coding RNA (GBAR_LNC006715)". Lineage: Eukaryota; Viridiplantae; Streptophyta; Magnoliopsida; Malvales; Malvaceae. The record is from RNAcentral.